Molecule: ribosomal RNA, 252 nt
Filed under: uncultured bacterium
Lineage: Bacteria
Description: partial 16S ribosomal RNA
Rfam family: Bacterial small subunit ribosomal RNA
Source: RNAcentral
UACGUAGGUGGCAAGCGUUGUCCGGAUUUACUGGGCGUAAAGGGCGUGCAGGCGGUCUGUUAAGUCUAGGGUGAAAGCUCCCGGCUCAACUGGGAGAGGUCCUUGGAUACUGGCGGACUUGAGGGAGGUAGAGGAAAGUGGAAUUCCCGGUGUAGUGGUGAUAUGCGUAGAUAUCGGGAGGAACACCAGUGGAGAAGGCGGCUCUCUGGCCUUACCUGACGCUGAGACGCGAAAGCGUGGGGAGCGAACAGG